AGAGUUUGAUCCUGGCUCAGGACGAACGCUGGCGGCGCGCCUAACACAUGCAAGUCGAACGAGCGAGAGAGAGCUUGCUUUCUCAAGCGAGUGGCGAACGGGUGAGUAACGCGUGAGGAACCUGCCUCAAAGAGGGGGACAACAGUUGGAAACGACUGCUAAUACCGCAUAAGCCCACGGCUCGGCAUCGAGCAGAGGGAAAAGGAGCAAUCCGCUUUGAGAUGGCCUCGCGUCCGAUUAGCUAGUUGGUGAGGUAAUGGCCCACCAAGGCGACGAUCGGUAGCCGGACUGAGAGGUUGAACGGCCACAUUGGGACUGAGACACGGCCCAGACUCCUACGGGAGGCAGCAGUGGGGAAUAUUGCACAAUGGGGGAAACCCUGAUGCAGCGACGCCGCGUGGAGGAAGAAGGUCUUCGGAUUGUAAACUCCUGUUGUUGAGGAAGAUAAUGACGGUACUCAACAAGGAAGUGACGGCUAACUACGUGCCAGCAGCCGCGGUAAAACGUAGGUCACAAGCGUUGUCCGGAAUUACUGGGUGUAAAGGGAGCGCAGGCGGGAAGACAAGUUGGAAGUGAAAUCUAUGGGCUCGACCCAUAAACUGCUUUCAAAACUGUUUUUCUUGAGUAGUGCAGAGGUAGGCGGAAUUCCCGGUGUAGCGGUGGAAUGCGUAGAUAUCGGGAGGAACACCAGUGGCGAAGGCGGCCUACUGGGCACCAACUGACGCUGAGGCUCGAAAGUGUGGGUAGCAAACAGGAUUAGAUACCCUGGUAGUCCACACCGUAAACGAUGAUUACUAGGUGUUGGAGGAUUGACCCCUUCAGAAACACCAGUUACACAAAUAAGUAAUCCCACCUGGGGAGUAAGGCCGCAAGGUUGAAACUCAAAGGAAUUGACGGGGACCAGCACAAGCAAUGGAGUAUGUGGUUUAAUUCGACGCAACGCGAAGAACCUUACCAAGUCUUGACAUCCUGCGACGCACAUAGAAAUAUGUGUUUCCUUCGGGACGCAGAGACAGGUGGUGCAUGGUUGUAGUCAGCUCGUGUCGUGAGAUGUUGGGUUAAGUCCCGCAACGAGCGCAACCCUUACUGUCAGUUACUAAGCAAGAGGACUCUGGCAGGACUGCCGUUGACAAAACGGAGGAAGGUGGGGAUGACGUCAAAUCAUCAUGCCCUUUAUGACUUGGGCUACACACGUACUACAAUGGCGUUAAACAAAGAGAAGCAAGACCGCGAGGUGGAGCAAAACUCAGAAACAACGUCCCAGUUCGGACUGCAGGCUGCAACUCGCCUGCACGAAGUCGGAAUUGCUAGUAAUCGUGAAUCAGCAUGCCACGGUGAAUACGUUCCCGGGCCUUGCAAACGCCGCCCGUCA
This 1372-nucleotide ribosomal RNA is filed under the name uncultured bacterium. RNAcentral describes it as "bacterial SSU rRNA". It matches the Rfam family "Bacterial small subunit ribosomal RNA". The record is from RNAcentral.